Molecule: long non-coding RNA, 986 nt
Filed under: Physcomitrium patens
Lineage: Eukaryota; Viridiplantae; Streptophyta; Bryopsida; Funariales; Funariaceae
Description: long non-coding RNA (PPAT_LNC010273)
Source: RNAcentral
ACCAUUAAUGUCGUUGCCAAGCCAAGAUCGCAGAGAGUGCUGACCUACCACGCUCCGUCUUCGCACAGGGCCCAUACUUUGGGCUAUCUCGGCGUGAAGAGUCGGUCUAUAAGCAGAAACAGGCCGAGAUGGUCUUCGAAGACUGUAAGGUUGAAUAUUUCUUCGUCGUGUGUUCAAUGACCUUGUCGUUGGUCUAAAUUCUUGAGUUGAGUCAGGAUUAUAAGCUGUGGAAGGCCCAGAAAGGAACUGAUUCCAAGCCAAUCUCAUGGAGUCUCUGCAGGUUGAAGACUCAUUGGUGAAAAGAACAGACUAAACCAAUUUUCCUACAAUGGCGAUGCUACGUUUGUUAUGUAAAUAAGCUUAAUCCUUCGACUGGACAAGUUUCAAACUUGAAAAUCAUCUUGUUGCUAACAACCAAUAACCCCCAAGAAAAUAGGUUUCUAUCUACAAAUUCAAAAGUAUUCCAAUAUGCCGCAUGAAAUAAUAAUAACAACAACAAUAAUAAUAAUAAUAAUAAUAAUAAUAAUAAUAAUAACAACAAGAGAAGCGUAGUCAAACCUGUGAUGCCCAUGGGCGCAUCCAGGACAAAGCCACGGUGGUGGGCCCGGAGGAUCCAGACAAAAUUCGUGAAUUGCUCGAUCUCCGCAAGUUGCACAUCUCCUCAAUAGAGAUUCAGAGUCACCACUCCCGCAAUGAAUACAGACAGCGUCCUACAUAGAAGUCAACGGAAUAUGUGCGAUGAGAAUAAUCAAUAUGUAUCUGAGGGCCUAAUGCCAAUGUACAUAGCAGGAACGAUUUCCUCACAAAGCAGGCUGUGUUUUGACCAUCCGUCAACCAAUAGGGCAUUCAAAACCGUCGGACUUGUCAGCUGGGGAUGCAACUAAUCACCAUGGCCUACUUUUUUAAUGCAGCGAAGGGAAGGAACAGGAGAAACGACUCGUCAUCAAAACCAAAAAAACUGAACGUUACGUCUUAUCAUUCACGAU